AUUGAACGCUGGCGGCAUGCCUUACACAUGCAAGUCGAACGGCAGCACGGGUGCUUGCACCUGGUGGCGAGUGGCGAACGGGUGAGUAAUACAUCGGAACGUACCUUAUCGUGGGGGAUAACGCAGCGAAAGCUGUGCUAAUACCGCAUACGCCCUGAGGGGGAAAGCGGGGGAUCGAAAGACCUCGCGCGAUUAGAGCGGCCGAUGCCUGAUUAGCUUGUUGGUGGGGUAAAAGCCCACCAAGGCGACGAUCAGUAGCUGGUCUGAGAGGACGAUCAGCCACACUGGAACUGAGACACGGUCCAGACUCCUACGGGAGGCAGCAGUGAGGAAUUUUCUGCAAUGGGCGAAAGCCUGACAGAGCAAUACCGCGUGAGGGAUGAAGACUUACUGAGUUGUAAACCUCGGUACUGUAAGAAUAAGGAUCGGCUAACUCCGUG
RNAcentral lists this ribosomal RNA (440 nucleotides) under uncultured bacterium. RNAcentral describes it as "bacterial SSU rRNA". It matches the Rfam family "Bacterial small subunit ribosomal RNA", at positions 30 to 507 of the family's 1533-position model. The record is from RNAcentral.